RNAcentral lists this ribosomal RNA (481 nucleotides) under uncultured bacterium. Its description in RNAcentral is "partial 16S ribosomal RNA". It matches the Rfam family "Bacterial small subunit ribosomal RNA", at positions 28 to 507 of the family's 1533-position model. The record is from RNAcentral.
GAUGAACGCUGGCGGCGUGCUUAACACAUGCAAGUCGAACGAAGCACUUUAUUUGAUUUCCUUCGGGACUGAUUAUUUUGUGACUGAGUGGCGUACGGGUGAGUAACGCGUGGGUAACCUGCCUUGUACAGGGGGUUAACAGUUGGACACGGCUGCUAAUACCGCAUAAGCGCACGGCAUCGCAUGAUGCAUUGUGAAAAACUCCGGUGGUAUAAGAUGCACCCGCGUUUGGUUAGCUAGUUGGUGAGGUAACGUCCCACCAAGGCGACGGUCCAUAGCCGACCUGAGAGGGUGACCGGACACAGGGGGACAGAGACAGGGCACAAACUCCCACGGGAGGGAGGAGGGGGGAAUAUUGCACAAUGGGCGAGAGCCAGAGGCAGCGGCGGCGCGGGAGUGGAGAAGUAAUGAGGUAUGUAAAGCUCUAUCAGGAGAGGAGAUAAUGACGGUACCUGGCGAAGAAGCACCGGCUAACUACGUG